AACGCUAGCUACAGGCUUAACACAUGCAAGUCGAGGGGAAACGAUAUUGGAAGCUUGCUUCCGAUAGGCGUCGACCGGCGCACGGGUGAGUAACGCGUAUCCAACCUGCCCGUCACUUGGGAAUAACCUUGCGAAAGUAAGACUAAUGCCCAAUGACAUUUAUAGAAGGCAUCGGAAAUGAAUUAAAGAUUUAUCGGUGAUGGAUGGGGAUGCGUCUGAUUAGCUUGUUGGCGGGGUAACGGCCCACCAAGGCGACGAUCAGUAGGGGUUCUGAGAGGAAGGUCCCCCACAUUGGAACUGAGACACGGUCCAAACUCCUACGGGAGGCAGCAGUGAGGAAUAUUGGUCAAUGGGCGAGAGCCUGAACCAGCCAAGUAGCGUGCAGGAAGACGGCCCUAUGGGUUGUAAACUGCUUUUAUAGGGGAAUAAAGUGAGCCACGUGUGGUUUUUUGCAUGUACCCUAUGAAUAAGGACCGGCUAAUUCCGUGCCAGCAGCCGCGGUAAUACGGAAGGUCCGGGCGUUAUCCGGAUUUAUUGGGUUUAAAGGGAGCGUAGGCCGGAGAUUAAGCGUGUUGUGAAAUGUAGACGCUCAACGUCUGCACUGCAGCGCGAACUGGUUUCCUUGAGUACGCACAAAGUGGGCGGAAUUCGUGGUGUAGCGGUGAAAUGCUUAGAUAUCACGAAGAACUCCGAUUG
RNAcentral lists this ribosomal RNA (696 nucleotides) under uncultured bacterium. RNAcentral's name for it is "bacterial SSU rRNA". It matches the Rfam family "Bacterial small subunit ribosomal RNA", at positions 32 to 715 of the family's 1533-position model. The record is from RNAcentral.